AAAUUAAAAAUCCAUGUAAAAGAAUUAUCGCAUAUCCUGGUUCUCCAUCGUUUCCCCCGUAACGAGCGAUUCGACCGAGUUCCCCGUCCAGUUUCCGAGGAUUCUCGUAAGACGAGAGACGAGACGAAGGCUGGGACGACAAAGAGGAUGAUUAACCUGAAAGCGGAGGUCAAAAAAGGGCAUCGAGGAUGCACCACGGCGCUGUGGGCCGUGGUCGCUCGCAUAAUGGCGAAUAUCGCGAAGGCGAAGGAGCAACGGCCAUCUUUGUUGGCCGCGGCGUGCAGUUGGAAGGCUGCUGCUGCUGCAGCAAGCAACAGCAGCAGCUUCGUCGUAGACCGGUGGUGGNUGGUCGGUGGUGAACACGUGAAAUGGUCUGGCUUGCGUGGCAUCAAAGGACGAGUGGGAGCAGGACGUCGACAUAGGUGUGAAUGUAGUCAAAUCACAUCAGCCUCACUUCGGCCGACACUCGAACCGAGGAAGAAAAGAUUUCGAAUAGACAACACGGACCAUAUAAUAGACGUGAACAAGAACAACGCGGCGUUCGAGUACGAUCAAGUGAACAUAAUAUGUCCUGUGUACCAGCCAGGAACGUAUGACGAGGACGCGGAGAAGUAUAUUAUUUACAAUGUGUCCAAAGAGGAGUACGAAACAUGUCGGAUAACAAAUCCGAAUCCGCGAGUGAUAGCGGUCUGUAACAACCCGUAUAAGACUAUGUACUUCACGAUCACCUUCAGGCCGUUCACACCGCAACCCGAAGGCCUGGAGUUCCUGCCAGGCCACGAUUACUAUUUCAUCAGCACUUCGUCCAAGGACGAUCUCCACAAACGCAUCGGUGGACGAUGCACCAGUAACAACAUGAAGGUGGUCUUCAAAGUGUGCUGCCGCAACGAAGCUGACACCUCGUCGUCAUCAGCGACAUCGCGCAACAAUUCCGUGGCCGUAACCAGCAGCACUGUACCAAGCAGCAGCUCGACCAGCACCGCUGUUUUGGGUGGAGGAGCCGCUGGAAUACCACCCCCGCCACCACCGAGCGUCCUCAAGGGCGGAGAUCGAUUCUACCCAGGGGGCAGCAUUCAUCAUCAUCACGAUCAUCAUCAACCGGCCACGGCGGCGCCGACCCUGCCCCACGUGCCCCCUCCGGCCAUCUACCCCGUGCAUCCGCAUCAGCCUCCGAUUCACAAUGGACCUCCGUCCUCCUCGCCGCCCAAGACCUCGAUCGGCCAGAAGAAGAAGAACAAGGAAUAUUCAGACCACCCGAACGAAGUAGUGAAGAACGAAGAAUUGACUUAUAAUGGAUCGAGUUCCAGCCGUGUUCAAGAUUGGUACAGCCAAUUGUUGGUAGUGCUGAUGGGAAGCUUGUUGAUCAGCGCGAUUCUGCCGCAAUUAUUGCGGUGAAGUGACAACAUUACUGACGAGAACGUAUAUUUCAUACGUCGAAACCCCUUUUUCUGUGAUUAUCCUACGUUUAAUUAAUUUCUUGAGGCACGCGUGUGCACGUGCACUCGCGCGGCCGUCCCUCGAUCGUGAAAAAUAAAACGUGCACGAUUUAUGGUCGGACUGCCUCGAGAGAAAAAGAGAACGAGAAAAUUUAAUCGGGAUGGAAGAAAGACAAAAACGAAUAACUUUAAAAAAAAAAACGAAAAUUUAAUGAAAAUAAAAGAGAAUACGAAUUUAAGAAGAACGAAGAGUUGGUAAAAAAUAAAUAAACGUUAAAUGUCAAGAGAAGAGACACGCACGACACACGAGCAGCAACGCCAUAUUGAAACUAUUCGAAACGAAGAAAGAAGAUGUAGCUAAGAUUGCAAAGACGAAGAAAGACGAAAUGAGAAGAAACGCUACUACUAGACAUUAUUAUAGUAUGCCCACUAUUAUCACUACUAUAAAUGGUAGUCGUAUUGGUUGUCCUUCUUAUCAUUACGCUAAUUCUAGGUAUUUAUUGGAAAUACGAAGAAAAAGAACAAAGUGAACAGCGUGCUAACUAUCCUCAAACGAGAUGCAAUAUAUCUAUAGUAAUAAUGAUAAAUAUAUAUAUAUAUAUAUAUAUGGUUCGUUAACCUUUUCACACGAAGUAGUUAACACACGAUUGUACAAAAUGUUUCUCAUAUACAAGUUCGCUUUGCGGGUCUCAGAGGAUAUUACACAUACAGUACAUACAUUUGUAAAGGGAUGCAAAUAAUAGAGUGCAUUUAUGUUUUUAAUCGUUAUAAUCGACGAUCCAUGUAAUAAUUAUACAUCUCAAAUCGUGGAUGUAUCGAUUGAACUGCUCUGGACGGCAAAAAUUAUCGAUCGACUCGAUAGCGAAUUAAUCAGAACCAGCGUGAAAACCCGUAAUCAAUUAAACAUAAAUGCAAUAGCAAUGCAGCAAAGUUACAUAGAUCCAAUGUGAAUGGUACUCAUUCUUACGGACGAUAGGUGAAUAUAAACAAUAAUAUAGACUCGAACUAUCGAUAGAAAAUAGACAAGAUCACUCACUGCAA
RNAcentral lists this unclassified non-coding RNA (2477 nucleotides) under Apis dorsata (giant honeybee). RNAcentral describes it as "ephrin-B2, transcript variant X1". Lineage: Eukaryota; Metazoa; Arthropoda; Insecta; Hymenoptera; Apidae. The record is from RNAcentral.